UUUUUUUUUUCCUUUUAAGUGCUUAUGCCUGUUUAAAAGAAUUGGACAAUACGGAAGGUCGUAAUCUGAGACUUUUGGACUUCACACUUUGUAAAGAUGAACUGAUAGGUAUGAUGUGUCCUGAGGGCUCCUGAGGACUUGCCCCGAAGGGGGGGAGCAAUCUGGAAAGCCCGGAGGAUUGCCCUUGUGAUGUUAAAGAAAAGAAGGGAUUGAAAUGAAGAUGACUUUGAAGUGUCUGCUUUAAAGGAUGCAAACACAUCUUGGUGCUUAAGCUGCAAAUAAAGCUGGCUGCUCCAUGGGAGUGCAAUGCAAA
This is a non-coding RNA of Meleagris gallopavo (turkey), 313 nucleotides long. The record is from RefSeq and is a predicted model, not a curated record. NCBI's taxonomy places the organism in Eukaryota, Metazoa, Chordata, Aves, Galliformes, Phasianidae.